UGGCGGACGGGUGAGUAACGCGUAGGUAUCUAUCUCCGGGUGGGGGACAACUGUGGGAAACUACAGCUAAUACCGCAUGACACCUGAGGGUCAAAGGCGCAAGUCGCCUGGAGAGGAGCCUGCGUACGAUUAGCUAGUUGGCGGGGUAAAGGCCCACCAAGGCGACGAUCGUUAGCUGGUCUGAGAGGAUGAUCAGCCACAUUGGGACUGAGACACGGCCCAA
This 223-nucleotide ribosomal RNA is filed under the name uncultured bacterium. Its description in RNAcentral is "partial 16S ribosomal RNA". It matches the Rfam family "Bacterial small subunit ribosomal RNA", at positions 96 to 334 of the family's 1533-position model. The record is from RNAcentral.